ACAGUCGUGGCCCAGUGGUUAAGGCGAUGGACUAGAGAUCCAUUGGGGUCGCCCCGGACAGGUUCGAUUCCUGCCGACUGCG
This 82-nucleotide transfer RNA is filed under the name Ixodes scapularis (black-legged tick). It matches the Rfam family "tRNA". Rfam says of the family: Transfer RNA (tRNA) molecules are approximately 80 nucleotides in length. Their secondary structure includes four short double-helical elements and three loops (D, anti-codon, and T loops). Lineage: Eukaryota; Metazoa; Arthropoda; Arachnida; Ixodida; Ixodidae. The record is from Rfam by way of RNAcentral.